AUUGAACGCUGGCGGCAUGCUUUACACAUGCAAGUCGAACGGCAGCGCGGGCUUCGGCCUGGCGGCGAGUGGCGAACGGGUGAGUAAUGCAUCGGAACGUGCCCCGUAGUGGGGGAUAGCCCGGCGAAAGCCGGAUUAAUACCGCAUACGACCUGAGGGUGAAAGCGGGGGGGCGAAAGGCCUCGCGCUAUUGGAGCGGCCGAUGUCGGAUUAGCUAGUUGGUGGGGUAAAGGCUUACCAAGGCGACGAUCCGUAGCUGGUCUGAGAGGACGACCAGCCACACUGGGACUGAGACACGGCCCAGACUCCUACGGGAGGCAGCAGUGGGGAAUGUUGGACAAUGGGGGCAACCCUGAUCCAGCCAUGCCGCGUGCGGGAAGAAGGCCUUCGGGUUGUAAACCGCUUUUGUUCGGGAAGAAAUCCUCUGGGCUAAUACCCCGGGGGGAUGACGGUACCGGAAGAAUAAGCACCGGCUAACUACGUG
Molecule: ribosomal RNA, 484 nt
Filed under: uncultured bacterium
Lineage: Bacteria
Description: partial 16S ribosomal RNA
Rfam family: Bacterial small subunit ribosomal RNA
Source: RNAcentral